RNAcentral lists this non-coding RNA (29 nucleotides) under Rattus norvegicus (Norway rat). Lineage: Eukaryota; Metazoa; Chordata; Mammalia; Rodentia; Muridae. The record is from RNAcentral.
UGGGAACUCUGCGACUGGGUAUAAAAGAC